GUAGGUGGCAAGCGUUGUCCGGAAUUAUUGGGCGUAAAGCGCGCGCAGGCGGUUCUUUGAGUCUGAUGUGAAAGCCCACGGCUCAACCGUGGAGGGUCAUUGGAAACUGGAGAACUUGAGUACAGAAGAGGAAAGCGGAAUUCCACGUGUAGCGGUGAAAUGCGUAGAGAUGUGGAGGAACACCAGUGGCGAAGGCGGCUUUCUGGUCUGUAACUGACGCUGAGGCGCGAAAGCGUGGGGAGCAAACAGGAUUAGAUACCCUGGUAGUCCACGCCGUAAACGAUGAGUGCUAAGUGUUAGGGGGUUUCCGCCCCCCUUAGUGCUGCAGCUAACGCAUUAAGCACUCCGCCUGGGAGUACGGCCGCAAGGCUG
This 372-nucleotide ribosomal RNA is filed under the name uncultured organism. RNAcentral describes it as "partial 16S ribosomal RNA". It matches the Rfam family "Bacterial small subunit ribosomal RNA", at positions 527 to 896 of the family's 1533-position model. The record is from RNAcentral.